AGAUGCUUUCAGAUCUGUUCCUGGACCAUAUAUGUUGGAGUUUACCUGCCAUACCAAAAUCAGUGCAGCAACUGAAGAAAUAACUAAACCCAAGUACAUCUACAACCUAACUCCAUUCAGCAAACUUCCAGAGUUCAUUAACGACAAAAAAAAUUCCAUGAUAUCUUGGGCAUACUCACAGAGAUAAAUGAACCGCAAUGGAUUCCAUUCUCAAAUCAAUCCAAACCUAGUCUGCGUCGUGAUAUCAAGCUGAAAGAUGAAAUCGGUGAAGAGAUCAAGCUAGUUCUUUGGGGCUCCAAAGCAACACAAUUUGAUAUUCCAGAAGACACAACUUCAGAAGACAAACCAAUCAUAAUAUUAUUCACUGGAUGCCUUGUCAAACUUUACCGUGGUGAACUUAAUGUCAGUGGCUACUCAGCUUGCCAUUGGUACAUAAAUCCUGAUAUACCAGAAGCAGCACAUCUAUUAAAUAGGUAGAAACAAACAAAUAACUUCUUUAUAUGCACCUACUACUUAACAUUUAUUAAUUCUUAUUUCUACAACAAAUGUUUCUUAUAAAAUUUGUUUGCACAUAUAUCCAACA
This is a long non-coding RNA of Panicum virgatum (switchgrass), 583 nucleotides long. RefSeq lists it as uncharacterized. The record is from RefSeq and is a predicted model, not a curated record. The transcript is spliced from 4 exons. NCBI's taxonomy places the organism in Eukaryota, Viridiplantae, Streptophyta, Magnoliopsida, Poales, Poaceae.